This 267-nucleotide long non-coding RNA is filed under the name Capsicum annuum. RNAcentral describes it as "long non-coding RNA (CANN_LNC017754)". The record is from RNAcentral. Lineage: Eukaryota; Viridiplantae; Streptophyta; Magnoliopsida; Solanales; Solanaceae.
GAUUCCGAAGAAAAAUUGAAGUCCCAUUUUGCUUCUCCGAAAAAGGUAAAUACACCUUUCUCUUUUAGUUUUGUUAUCGUUUUCUUCUUCAUCUCUUUUUUUGUAGUUUUAUAGUUGUGUAGUUGUAAUUUUGUUUGCUAGGAUUGUUUGUUGUAGAUGAUCUUGAAGACCAUAAGAUGUUGUGAUAUCAAUAUUAUGAUUAUUUUUUAUAUUCAUGGUGUAAAAUGAGUUAACAAUAGUUGAAAGUGUUUCUUUGACUUUCUUCUU